This 1483-nucleotide long non-coding RNA is filed under the name Homo sapiens (human). Its description in RNAcentral is "HSALNT0398759". The record is from RNAcentral. Lineage: Eukaryota; Metazoa; Chordata; Mammalia; Primates; Hominidae.
CCGCGGAGCCGCCUGCAGCUCCCGCCAGGCCUGCACUGGCCGCCCCAGGUCCACGGAGCUCAUAGGGACCCGCACCUCCCCGAUGGCGUCAUUGCGAGAGAAGCGGUCGAAGUCGUACACCGCCAUGACCAGCACCCUGCCCCCCAGCUCCACGUAGGGGACCUGGAGUGCACAGAGAAUCCGCAGUAGAGAGCAGGAAGUCAGAGAUAGGGUGAGGCACAGCACAACCAGAAGGAAGGCAUGGAGUGAGGCAGCGAGGGUCGAAGCGAACAGUUGGGGGAACUCAAAUGGGAAAGUCCAGGGAUCCAUGCGGAAAAAAAUCACGGGUCAGUGGAACCCAAAUCGUACCGCCCAAGGACCAGGCUACAGCCCAGGAGUCAGUAGUGCCCAGGGUCCAGUGGAAUAGCCCCAGAGCUGGUAGCUGCCACCUGAGCUGUGGCCGCCUCCAGGAAAAGCGGAAGGGGUCGGUCCCUAGUGUUCCAGGGACUGGGCACAGGCUAUGGAACACGGGGCCUGAAGGCAGGAGCUCACCUUGAAGGCGAAGGUCUCCCCAAAGUGAGGGUUCAGCGUCUGCCGAUGCACCUUGGUCUCGUACCGCCUCCGUUUGUCCGGCAGCAGGUAGACCCGCACAUAGGGGUCCGAGGAGCCACCAAGAUCCAAGGCUGCCAAUCCCAUUGCUUGCAGAAUGCCCACCAGCAGCUGCAGGGCCCAGGCACAGUGGGGGAGGUGGGGAACACUAGUCUUAGCCUCCCUUCCAUGGCUCCUUUCAGAAGGGGUUGGAACCCCCGGGAUCCUCCCUCCAAAGCUUCCCCUUCCUCCACACCCACCUGGCCACUCUGGAAGUCAUAAUCCAGGGAGUACUGCAGUCGUCCUAGCUCAUGCUUGUCUGCCACCUGCUGCCCUGGCCCGGAUGGUGCUGGCUCCAGCUCCUCUACUUCUGGCUGCACCUUAAGGAGCCAGGGGCUGCUGCUGCACUGGCCUCGUCCCUGGAUCCCUCGCCGCAGAUCUGUCCUACACAGGGUUCCAGAGGAGUCAUCCUAACACCAUCUGACCCUGUCCCUCUCAUGCUCAAAACAUAUUUGUAGCCUUCAUCACCUUCAUGACAUGGAUACUGCUGAGUUCUCCAGACACUUCACUCCAGAGUGCAGCUAUUGUGAGAAAUGACUCUUUGUUCCCCAAAUAAGCCUCAGAAUCUGGAUAUGGGGCCUGAAUCUGGAUAUGGGGCCUCAACACAUGCUCCAACUUGGACUAGAAUGUCCUUCUCUCUGGUCUCAGUUAACUCUGUCCCUCAGGUCUCAGUGCAGAAGUCACCUCCACCACGAAGCCUCCUCUGUCUGACCCUCUGUUUUAAACUUUUUCCUACUGUAAAUAUGUCCCAUUUUCUGAAAAAAAUCAGCAUAUUUUAAAGUAUUCUGGCACAAAGCUGGUUUUCAGCUUUCAGAGCCAUUUAUUUAUUUAUCUAUUUAUUGGAGACAGAGUCUCG